This 253-nucleotide ribosomal RNA is filed under the name uncultured bacterium. RNAcentral's name for it is "partial 16S ribosomal RNA". It matches the Rfam family "Bacterial small subunit ribosomal RNA", at positions 524 to 776 of the family's 1533-position model. The record is from RNAcentral.
GACGAAGGAUGCAAGCGUUAUCCGGAUUCAUUGGGUUUAAAGGGAGCGUAGGUGGCCUUAUAAGUCAGUGGUGAAAUCUCUGGGCUUAACCCAGAAAUUGCCAUUGAUACUGUAGGGCUUGAGUACAGUUGCUGUGGGCGGAAUAUGACAUGUAGUGGUGAAAUACAUAGAGAUGUCAUAGAACACCGAUUGCGAAGGCAGCUCACAAAACUGUAACUGACACUGAGGCUCGAAAGUGCGGGGAGCAAACAGG